UUAUAGAGAACAAGAAUUUGUGUAUGGUUUUGGCCCAUAAUUUAUAGGUAGAUAGUCCUUUUUUAUAAA
RNAcentral lists this transfer RNA (69 nucleotides) under Viviparus chui. Its description in RNAcentral is "tRNA-Arg". The record is from RNAcentral. Lineage: Eukaryota; Metazoa; Mollusca; Gastropoda; Architaenioglossa; Viviparidae.